AUGAACGCUGGCGGCGUGCCUAAUACAUGCAAGUCGCGCGAACAGACGAGGAGCUUGCUCCUCUGACGUUAGCGGCGGACGGGUGAGUAACACGUGGAUAACCUACCUAUAAGACUGGGAUAACUUCGGGAAACCGGAGCUAAUACCGGAUAAUAUAUUGAACCGCAUGGUUCAAUAGUGAAAGACGGUUUUACUGUCACUUAUAGAUGGAUCCGCGCCGCAUUAGCUAGUUGGUAAGGUAACGGCUUACCAAGGCAACGAUGCGUAGCCGACCUGAGAGGGUGAUCGGCCUCACUGGAACUGAGACACGGUCCAGACUCCUACGGGAGGCAGCAGUAGGGAAUCUUCCGCAAUGGGCGAAAGCUUGACGGAGCAACGCCGCGUGAGUGAUGAAGGUCUUCGGAUCGUAAAACUCUGUUAUUAGGGAAGAACAAAUGUGUAAGUAACUAUGCACGUCUUGACGGUACCUAAUCAGAAAGCCACGGCUAACUACGUG
Molecule: ribosomal RNA, 496 nt
Filed under: uncultured bacterium
Lineage: Bacteria
Description: partial 16S ribosomal RNA
Rfam family: Bacterial small subunit ribosomal RNA
Source: RNAcentral